UACGUAGGGUGCAAGCGUUGUCCGGAAUUAUUGGGCGUAAAGAGCUCGUAGGCGGUUUGUCGCGUCGGAUGUGAAAAUCCAGGGCUCAACCCUGGACCUGCAUUCGAUACGGGCAGACUAGAGUUCGGUAGGGGAGACUGGAAUUCCUGGUGUAGCGGUGAAAUGCGCAGAUAUCAGGAGGAACACCUAUUGCGAAGGCAGCUCGCUGGGACGUAACUGACGCUGAGACGCGAAAGCGUGGGGAGCAAACAGG
RNAcentral lists this ribosomal RNA (253 nucleotides) under uncultured bacterium. RNAcentral describes it as "partial 16S ribosomal RNA". It matches the Rfam family "Bacterial small subunit ribosomal RNA", at positions 524 to 776 of the family's 1533-position model. The record is from RNAcentral.